CGAAUACGAAUACACACGCGCGGUUUAGUUUAAUCUAGUUUAGUCAGACAGAGUCCUCAUGGCGCAGAGUGAUUUUUGACAAGAGCACUCACCAAUACAGAAGCGGCUACACAUCCUCAGCAGCGCCAUGUUGCGCAGCUUUCAAUUCCGUCCUACAGUCCGCGCUGACUCCCUCCUCCUGUUCCACCGAGACUUCAACAUGCAGCAAGUCCCACCCCCUCCUCUCUCUCACACACACACUCAAAACCAGAGGACAGGGAGGAGCUACAUUGUGCUGCAGUUCCCUCCCCGUUCACCUAAUCGUUACAAUAAUAUUGUAAAGGAAACAGUGGGGUGGUGGGGGGGAGACUGUAUCGAGUGCUUGAGAUAACCAGGUGUAGAGCUGGAUGAACACAGCAGCAUCGAAGGAGCAGGAAGGCUGACGUUUCGUGUACGGACCCUUCUUCAGGAAAAAUCUUUGUAUAGAGUGCUUUCCACCAUCACCUAACGACUCAACGUCCUUUACAUCCAAUGAGGUGCUUUUGAAGUGUUAUAUAAGAGAUGCAGCAGCCAAUUUGUUGACAGCAAGCUCACCAUACAGCAAUUCUGUAAGAACCACGCAAUUGCUGACGACUGUGAAUAACUCUCCUGCUCUUCCUUAAACAGUGCUUCUAUAUAUCCACCAGAGUGGAGAAAGUACCUAAGUUUUACAGUCUAAUCCAAAUGGUGUUUUACCUUCCACACAACCAAGCAACAUUAUGCAUGAUAUUCAGUUUUUUGCAAUGCCAGGUACGUAGCCUAUGCUUUCUCAUGAUUAGCUGUUUGAAUCAACCGUUUUCUCCCCAUGGUAUAAAUUUUUGUGUUAAGUUAAAAAUUUUAAGCUCAGACCUGAAAAAUGCUAUGUCGUUACCUUGGAAAACUAUUUCAAAAAUUUGAACAGCAGAUUAAGCAAGCUAUAUCACAGGACCAUUUUCCACGAACAGGAUGCUGCCAUGACAAAGCACUGACACUGAAAUAGUAGGAACUGCCGAUGCUGGAGAAUCGGAGAUAACACGGUGUGAAGCUGGAUGAACACAGCAGGCCAAGCAGCAUCAGAGGAGCAGGAAAGCUUGAUGUCUCAGGUCGAGACCUUUCUUCAAAAAAUAAGUCACCGACUUACUUCGGUUGCAGGGAAAAGUCCUGGGUUUGGUGGGGCUGGAGGAGAGUGUGGAGCGGACAAAGGUGUCACGGACAGAGACGGCCCUCCGAAAAGUAGAAUCUGCAAGUGCUACACCUGUCCUUACCCCACCCCCCUCACCCCCAAGAAGACUUUCCACAUCGAGCAGAGUCUGCUAAUACGGUAUACUGUAUCCACUGUUCCCAUUGUGGCCUCUAAAUUGGGGAAACCAAGCAGAGGCUCGGGAACCGCUUUGUGGAACACCUACACUCCGUUCACAACAAACAAGUACACCUCCCAGUCGUGAGCCGUUUCAAUUCCCCCUCCCACUCCUUGGAUGACAUGUCCAUCCUGCCACAAUGACGCCAGCCGAAAGCUGCAGGAACAGCAACUCAUAUUUUGCUUGGGAACCCUGCAGCCGAAGGGUAUCAAUGUGGACUUCACAAAAAUCUCCCCUCCCCCCCCCCCCCCCCUGCAUCCCAAAACCACCCGACCUAGUCCCCGCCUCCCUAACCAUUCCUCCCACCUCCAGCCCUGCCCCCAUCCCACACCCAAUGUGAGAGAUUAAACAUGUUGUUUCUGCAUGUAAGGAUGAAUGGUGGGGUCUUGCAAAAGCGGACCAUUAUAGUCACAAGAUUUUAUAGCAGGUCGGGUAAUUCUUGUGCACAAGACCCGGGUCAGGAAAGGUCUUAAAGAUCUGUCCGGGCGACUGGGGGAGCAGCGGUAUUUGCUGCAGGUAUUGCCGCGGGGACGUACGGGAAGUACAGGGAAGAGUUGUAAAGACCAGGUAACUCCGUGCACGGACCAAGGAAGAAGGGUCUGUUAACCCAGACACCUCCACUUGAGUUCGCAGUACAUCGGAUACGACCGGGUGAUUGGGUCCUGAUCAAAACCUGGAAAGAUACCAAACUGCACCCAAACUGGGAGGGACCGUUCCUAACCCUCCUGACUACUGAAACAGCCGUCCGUACUGCUGAAAAACGGCAGAGUCAUCACACUCGUGUUAAGGGUCCGGUGGACGCUCCUUCCCCUCUGGCCGAGCGGCAAGCUCAUCCUACAGACAACCCUUUGAAAGUCAAACUCAGCAGAAAGAAUGAACUGAACUGAUAUGAGACACUACUAAGUAUUGGUUAAAAUUUUUUUUUGAAUUGUAAGUGUUGCACGAACCCAUGCCUCCCAGGUACUUAAAGAGUUAGGGAAUAGACAGGUAAGGUGGGGGUUGAGAAGCUGAAGUGAGCAGGCAGCUUUAUGUUGUUAUGAUAAUAUUGGCGCUAGUUGCUAAGGGGGUCGGGAAGAAUCAUUUUACAGUGUUAUGUCACAAUUAUGCUAGAGAAAUGGGGCGUACUGACUGUUGGGUAUGCGCUGCGAUCCCACACCAUGGAGAAUCUGGAAUCCCUCUCACGGUAGUACCAUUUACCAAUAGAGAGGUGUACGAGGCACAACAAUUUGACUUGGGCUCAAAUGAUACAAAAUGGAGAUCUGAAAGGGGUGAUUAUAAAUUCGCGGGAUGGUUCCCAUGACCAUCUCCGAAAACCCCGGGUGCUAUCGACGGCCUUAGGGUUCUCCCACCGAAAGGGGUAGUCAAUACUACUUGUUUCUGCAAUCAGAACAACAGCGCACCCUUCUAGUUAGGAAACUCCUCGUGUCACCACCAGCCAAGCUACUGGCACAAAUAUACCCCACAUAUUGAACGGGACAGAUUGGAUAUGUGGCCUAGAGGCCUAUCCCUUUAUCCCCGGGGAAAGGUACAUUCGGGUGACCGAAUGCAUAGGAAGCGUAGAAAUGCAGGAAUGUUAUGAUUUUGAUCCAACACUGCCUUAAAGUCAAAGUCAAAGGCUGGAGUGGCUGUUGCUAACUCGCCUACCUAAUUCCCCAUCUGAGGCUGUUAGAUAAAACCCCAGAAAUAACUCAGAAUGGGUAGGGAGGGAAGCAGACACCCCGAGAAGUAACCGAAGGGGAUCGCUUCCUCUGGAGUUUGAUACCUAUGUAGGAGACUGCCCAAGCAGGAAGAGAAAUACAAAAGUUGGCGCCUUCCCUGGAGGAGUUGGCCGACAAUACUGCCGAUGCGUUGGCCGAGACUCAAUCCCAAGUGGCAGCCAUAACGACUGAAAUGAUUGCCACCAGACUAACGAUUCUCUAGAAUAGGAUGGCUCUAGAUUACAUUUUGGCAGAGAAAGGUGGUACCUGUGUCCUAAUCGGGGAAGAAUGUUGUACAUACAUACCUGACGUUUCCCAUAAUAUUACUGAUAUCUCCCAACACGUGCGAGACAAAAUCACCAAAAUAAGGGAGGCCGGUAACCGAUACCGGAAUGAAAAAGGCUGGGAAUGGGGGAAUUGGGGAUUACCUGGUUGGUUAAUUUGGUCGUUUAUGGAUUAUUGAUAUCAGUGGGUCUGGUGGUGGGGUUUAAUGUCCUCAAAUGGAUACUGAACCAAUUAAUGACAUCUCGAGGGGAACGAACCCUAGUACAUCACCAGAUGCUUUUACAAUCAGCAGAUGGUAUGCAACAAAGAGAAAGUCAAAGAAUGCUUCUAGAUUUCAAAAAACGAACAUCACAGAGUGAUUUAAGGGCUAACCGUGUACAAGAUUGUGAACCUCAACGCCAGCAAGCGUAAGAGGGCAGAAAAUGGGAAAAUGGAUUCAAAAGGGGCUUAAUUAGUGCAGAAACAACAGUUUGAGAAAAAGAAAAGGGGGAAUUGUAAGAGAUUAAACAUGUUGUUUCUGCAGGUAAGGAUGAAUGGUGGGGUCUUGCAAAAGCAGACCAUUAUAGUCACAAGAUUUUAUAACAGGAAGUCACAAGAUCUUAUAGCAGAAGUUUAUCAUUAAUCAGAGACUAGGUUCUGCAAAGAUGGCUGUUAGCACGACCAGAAACAUUCUUUCUGCAGACAAGGACAUGGUAGAGAUAAGGGUGUUGUAGCAGAGGCUUAUUUCUGCAAACCUGACGAUUCGCACGUACAGCAUGUCUAGCGCUCUUUAGGAUAGCAAAUAAGGAUUGGAGUAAACAAGGGAAUGGGGCCUUCGGCUGGCAGAAAAGGGAACAAUAAACAAGGGCGGUCCGACAGUACGGGGAAUGAUAGGAUAAGACCAAUGGGAGCAGGGAGGCAUGAUUCUGCAACUUGUAAAUUGUAUAAGAAUGUUUGGCAUUCUUUGUGUGUGUGUGUGCGCGCCUGUCUAGCAGACACUCUUUCUUGCAAGAUCGUACAGAAUAAAAUUGUCUUGUUUCGAA
Long non-coding RNA from Stegostoma tigrinum, 4359 nucleotides. RefSeq lists it as uncharacterized. The transcript is spliced from 2 exons. Lineage: Eukaryota; Metazoa; Chordata; Chondrichthyes; Orectolobiformes; Stegostomatidae. The record is from RefSeq and is a predicted model, not a curated record.